GACGGAGGGUGCUAGCGUUGUUCGGAAUUACUGGGCGUAAAGGGCGCGUAGGCGGCUGCUCAAGUCGGGUGUGAAAGCCCGGGGCUCAACCCCGGAACGGCACCCGAGACUGGGCGGCUCGAGACCGGGAGAGGUGGGUGGAAUACCCAGUGUAGAGGUGAAAUGCGCAGAUAUCAGGAAGAACACCAAUGGCGAAAGCAGCUCUCUGGGACGGUACUGACGCUGAGACGCGAAAGCGUGGGGAGCGAACAGG
RNAcentral lists this ribosomal RNA (253 nucleotides) under uncultured bacterium. RNAcentral's name for it is "partial 16S ribosomal RNA". It matches the Rfam family "Bacterial small subunit ribosomal RNA", at positions 524 to 776 of the family's 1533-position model. The record is from RNAcentral.